RNAcentral lists this long non-coding RNA (577 nucleotides) under Marmota monax (woodchuck). Lineage: Eukaryota; Metazoa; Chordata; Mammalia; Rodentia; Sciuridae. The record is from RNAcentral.
GAGCUAGUAGGUGUUAGGGGCAUGGAAAAGGCCGGAGGGAAACGGUGGGGGGUGAAGGAGUCGCGGCUCGGGAAGGUGAGGAUUGAGAAUUCAGAGCUGGCGUGGAACGAGAGGGAGCAGGCCGAGAAGAGGUCUCGCGGCGAGGGGAAGGCCCGCGGCGCGCUGAGAUCCAGGGGCGAGGACAGAUCCCGGAGCGAGGAGAGAUCCCCAGGCGAGGACAGGUCCCCAGGCGAGAACAGAUCCCCGGGCGAGGACAGAUCCCGAGGCGAGCACAGAUCCCGGGGCGAGGGCAGAUCCCGGGCCCAGGGGAAGGCCCGUGGCGAGAAAUCCCGUGGCGAGGAGAGAUGUCAGGGUGAGGGGAAGGCCGGUGGCGAGGAGAGAUCCCGGGGGAAGACCCGUCCUGAGGGGAGAUUCCGGGGCCAGAGAAAGGCCCGUGGCGAGAAAUCCCGUGGCGAGGAGAGAUCCCGGGACGAGAGUAAGGCGGGUGGCGAGCAAAGAACCCACGGCGAGGAGAAAUCCCAGGGUGAAGUAAGGGUCUCUAACGAGAAGGGGCGAGGCGAGGAGAAAGUAAGCUGGG